This 377-nucleotide unclassified non-coding RNA is filed under the name uncultured Actinomycetes bacterium. Its description in RNAcentral is "uncultured actinobacterium contains 16S-23S intergenic spacer region". Lineage: Bacteria; Bacillati; Actinomycetota; Actinomycetes. The record is from RNAcentral.
UCCGGCUCUACGCCGGCAGUCUCUCUAGAGUCCCCGACAUUACUCGCUGGCAACUAGAGACGGGGGUUGCGCUCGUUGCGGGACUUAACCCAACACCUCACGGCACGAGCUGACGGCAGCCAUGCAACACCUAUCGCAGGCCCUUACGGACACCGUAUUUCUACGGCUUUUCCUACGUAGUUCAGCCCAGGUAAGGUUCUUCGCGUUACAUCGAAUUAAGCCACAUGCUCCGCCGCUUGUGCGGGUCCCCGUCAAUUCCUUUGAGUUUUAGCCUUGCGGCCGUACUCCCCAGGCGGGGUGCUUAAUGCGUUAGCUGCGGCACAGAAAGCGUCGAUAGCUUCCCACACCUAGCACCCAUCGUUUACGGCUGGGACUAC